This is an RNA transcript of Panicum virgatum (switchgrass), 1382 nucleotides long. It is a transcript of the gene named tubulin-folding cofactor B-like, with no coding region annotated. NCBI's taxonomy places the organism in Eukaryota, Viridiplantae, Streptophyta, Magnoliopsida, Poales, Poaceae. The record is from RefSeq and is a predicted model, not a curated record. The transcript is spliced from 8 exons.
CGACGCCACGCCGGCGGCCGGAGGACUUACUGCCAUGGCGUCGUCCAAGCUGCAGCUUCCGGCGGACGACAGCGUCCUCCUGCUCGUCACCCACUCCAAUCUCUCCACCUUCGCGGCAGACAUCCGCGUCUCGCAACAGGUAUGACCACCGUCGAGGCGCUCAAGGACAAGCUCUGGCGCAAGACCGGCACCGCCGUCGCCUCCAUGCGCCUCCAGCUCCGCGACGACACCGGCGUCAACCUCGCCGACCUCGAUGAUGACGCCGCGCCCCUCGCAGCCUACGGCCCAUACAACGGCUGCCGGAUCCAUGUCCUCGAUCUCGAUCCUUCCUCACUCACCUCUGGUGGCUGGUUGGAAGACACCUCCCUUGUUGACAAGUACAAAAUGUCCGAUGAAGCAUACGACAAGCUCCACACUAACUUUCGAAAAUUUAAAGAAAAGAUGACCCCGAAAACCCCCACAUCAGAGUCAGAGGAUAAUAAACAACAAUUAGAAAAGCACAUGGAGGAAUUGUGCUCCAAAAUCAAGGUGGGAGAUAGAUGUGAAGUUGAGCCAGGUGCCAAGAGGGGCACUGUCAAAUUCGUUGGCAGAGCUGAAGCUCUUGGACGUGGAUUCUGGGUUGGUGUGCAAUAUGAUGAGCCACUUGGAAAGCACGAUGGCAUGGUGAAAGGCAUUCGCUUCUUUGAGUGCCCUCAAGGUCAUGGGGCAAUUGUGAGACCAAAGAAAGUAAAGGUUGGAGACUACCCAGAGAGAGACCCAUUCGAAGAAGAGGAGAUAUAGGCAAGCAAGGUGUGGCGCAUUUGUUUAGUAAUUUUCAAUGGGAGGGGGGGUCGUUGUGGAGUUGUAUUUGAAACGCGUGCGAAAUUGCUGCUACGAUCUUGUUGAUCAAUCAGACUCGAUUACUCUAGUGUUGUAGUAAGUUGGUCGUUGCACUAUCUUGUCUUGGGUUUAGCAGCCGAGGAGCACUACUCUGCCAACGGGGUGGUCAAAUCCUGGACUCCUGCAUCACCCGAAGCCGAAACCCAAUAAUGGAUGGACAGAUGGAUGGCUACCGUAGGGCUUGUUUGGUUAGCGAUUAUAACUAGUCACAACCCUUGCCUUUUGUUCGGCUGGCUGUGGAUGGUGCUGAUUUGUUGUAAGAUAAAAGUAUUGUUGGCUGGCUGUGGCUGGUGGCUGGUGUUGAUUUGGUAUGAGAAAAAAACACUGCUGGUUGGUUGGCUGACAAGCCAGACGAACAGUUGGACGGAUGCAUAUUGGGUAAUGUAUGUUGAGUCACUGACAGGUGCGACCCAUAAUUCUGAAGCCCUUGCGAAAUCCCACUCCAUUUUAGUUAAGGUGUGGUGGUUAACAUCUGUUAGCCACAUCUUUGUAAAUUUGUAAAA